RNAcentral lists this ribosomal RNA (429 nucleotides) under Bacteroidota bacterium. RNAcentral describes it as "Bacteroidetes bacterium partial 16S ribosomal RNA". It matches the Rfam family "Bacterial small subunit ribosomal RNA", at positions 355 to 776 of the family's 1533-position model. The record is from RNAcentral. Lineage: Bacteria; Pseudomonadati; Bacteroidota.
UAGGGAAUCUUCCUCAAUGGACGCAAGUCUGACGGAGCAACGCCGCGUGAGUGAAGAAGGAUUUCGGUUCGUAAAACUCUGUUGUUAGAGAAGAACAGCGCAUAGAGUAACUGUUAUGCGUGUGACGGUAUCUAACCAGAAAGCCACGGCUAACUACGUGCCAGCAGCCGCGGUAAUACGUAGGUGGCAAGCGUUGUCCGGAUUUAUUGGGCGUAAAGCGAGCGCAGGCGGUCAAUUAAGUCUGAUGUGAAAGCCCCCGGCUCAACCGGGGAGGGUCAUUGGAAACUGGUUGACUUGAGUGCAGAAGAGGAGAGUGGAAUUCCAUGUGUAGCGGUGAAAUGCGUAGAUAUAUGGAGGAACACCAGUGGCGAAGGCGACUCUCUGGUCUGUAACUGACGCUGAGGCUCGAAAGCGUGGGUAGCAAACAGG